RNAcentral lists this transfer-messenger RNA (291 nucleotides) under Acutalibacteraceae. RNAcentral describes it as "UBA737 sp902762875 Standard tmRNA". It matches the Rfam family "transfer-messenger RNA". From Rfam's summary of the family: Bacterial tmRNA, also known as 10Sa RNA or SsrA, is named for its dual tRNA and mRNA-like properties. RNAcentral also lists the same sequence under 1 other name. Lineage: Bacteria; Bacillati; Bacillota; Clostridia; Eubacteriales. The record is from RNAcentral.
GGGGAUGUAAAGGUUUCGACAGGGAUUUUGAAGUAUCGGAAGCGAGCAGCGGUGCGGAACCGCUAUAAAAUCCGUAAACAAAAUUAACUAACAACGGUUCGGCAAGGGUGUCAUUUUAGCGGUGAACAUGAACGAGAGCCUGCUCCCGCUUUCGUCACGACUUAGGAGCUACCAAGCGCACAAGCCUGACAUUUGGCGUGUGCGUAAGGGAAUGUAAACAAGUGUCUGCGCUCGGAGACGCCGAUAUGAAUAAAUUUUUGGACAGGAGUUCGACUCUCCUCAUCUCCACCA